RNAcentral lists this ribosomal RNA (460 nucleotides) under uncultured bacterium. RNAcentral's name for it is "partial 16S ribosomal RNA". It matches the Rfam family "Bacterial small subunit ribosomal RNA", at positions 338 to 795 of the family's 1533-position model. The record is from RNAcentral.
CCUACGGGUGGCAGCAGUGAGGAAUAUUGGUCAAUGUGCGUGAGUCUGAACCAGCCAAGUAGCGUGAAGGAUGACUGCUCUAUGGGUUGUAAACUUCUUUUAUAAAGGAAUACAGUGAGGCACGUGUGCCCUUUUGCUUGUACCUUAUGAAUAAGGAUCGGCUAACUCCGUGCCAGCAGCCGCGGUAAUACGGAGGAUCCGAGCGUUAUCCGGAUUUAUUGGGUUUAAAGGGUGCGUAGGUGGGUUGUUAAGUCAGUGGUGAAAGUCUGCGGCUCAACCAUAGAAUUGCAUUUGAUACUGGGGGGCUGGAGUAUAGUUGAGGUAGGCGGAAUGCGUGGUGUAGCGGUGAAAUGCUUAGAUAUCACGAAGAACCCCGAUUGCGAAGGCAGCUUACUAAGCUAUGACUGACGUUGAUGCACGAAAGUGUGGGGAUCAAACAGGAUUAGAUACCCGAGUAGUC